Molecule: ribosomal RNA, 703 nt
Filed under: Blepharisma hyalinum
Lineage: Eukaryota; Ciliophora; Heterotrichea; Heterotrichida; Blepharismidae
Description: LSU rRNA
Rfam family: Eukaryotic large subunit ribosomal RNA
Source: RNAcentral
AUACGGCGAGUGACCGGUCAUCAGCCCAGACUGGAAUCGCUUCGGCGAAUUGUACAGUUCAGACAUAGACCUUACACAACGGCGCAGGUGUAACUCAGCUGGAACGCUGGACCGUAGAGGGUGAUAGUCCCGUGCCACUUGUGCCUAGUGAUGGGUCGUGUUCAACGAGUCGGGUAGCUUGGGAUUGCUGCCCUAAUUGGGAGGUAGACUUCUUCUAAGGCUAAAUACUCACAAGAGACCGAUAGCGAACAAGUACUGUGAAGGAAAGAUGAAAAGAACUUUGAAAAAAGGGUUAAAAUACUUGAAAUCGCUGAGGAGGAAGCAUUGAGCUCUGCAGCGCCGGCAGUGCAACUGAGGGUACGCCCUUGGGGGAGCUGACGGCACAACUCAGUCUGCGUUCUCGUAUUGUGCCUGAAAGCUGUUAGCUCACAGAGCCAAUACAAAGGAUACAGGCUGAGUCGCGGUGCCCACUGACCCGUCUUGAAACACGGACCAAGGAGUCUAACAUGCGUGCAAGUAGUAGGGUGUAAAACCACACUGCGCAACGAAAGUGAGCCUUGCCAAACUAGCAGCAAGGGCCUCGUCAGAGAGCUCAGCACUUAUGUUGGGACCCGAAAGAUGGUGAACUAUGCUUGGGAAAGGCGAAGCCAGGGGAAACUCUGGUGGAGGCUUGUAGAGAUUCUGACGUGCAAAUCGUUCGUAA